CUGGAGAGGUGUCUCUGGAGACAGGAGACAGGGUGGCUGGUAGAACUGGAGAGGUGUCUCUGGAGACAGGAGACAGGGUGGCUGGUAGAACUGGAGAGGUGUCUCUGGAGACAGGGUGCCUGGUAGAACUGGAGAGGUGUCUCUGGAGACAGGGUGGCUGGUAGAACUGGAGAGGUGUCUCUGGAGACAGGAGACAGGGUGGCUGGUAGAACUGGAGAGGUGUCUCUGGAGACAGGAGACAGGGUGGCUGGUAGAACUGGAGAGGUGUCUCUGGAGACAGGAG
Coregonus clupeaformis (lake whitefish) is the source of this 283-nucleotide long non-coding RNA. RefSeq lists it as uncharacterized. Lineage: Eukaryota; Metazoa; Chordata; Actinopteri; Salmoniformes; Salmonidae. The record is from RefSeq and is a predicted model, not a curated record. The transcript is spliced from 3 exons.